This 465-nucleotide ribosomal RNA is filed under the name uncultured bacterium. Its description in RNAcentral is "partial 16S ribosomal RNA". It matches the Rfam family "Bacterial small subunit ribosomal RNA", at positions 338 to 795 of the family's 1533-position model. The record is from RNAcentral.
CCUACGGGAGGCUGCAGUGGGGAAUAUUGCGCAAUGGGCGAAAGCCUGACGCAGCGACGCCGCGUGAGGGAUGAAGGUCUUCGGUUCGUAAACCUCUGUCAGCAGGGAAGUACGGUCACUGUGCUAUUCAGCAGUGAAUUGACGUUAUCUGCAAAGGAAGCACCGGCUAACUCCGUGCGAGCAGCUGCGGUAAUACGGAGGGUGCGAGCGUUAAUCGGAAUUACUGGGCGUAAGGGGCUCGUAGGCGGUAUGUCAAGUCAAGGGUGAAAUCCCCGGGCUAAACGUGGGAAUUGCAUUUGAGACUGGCAAACUGGAGUACAGUAGAGGUAGGUGGAAUUCGGGGUGUAGUGGUGAAAUGCUUAGAUAUCUGGAAGAACAUCGAUGGCGAAGGCAGCUAUCUGGAACGUAACUGACGCUGAGGAGCGAAAGCGUGGGUAGCAAACAGGAUUAGAUACCCGGGUAGUC